Molecule: ribosomal RNA, 2904 nt
Filed under: Escherichia coli
Lineage: Bacteria; Pseudomonadati; Pseudomonadota; Gammaproteobacteria; Enterobacterales; Enterobacteriaceae
Description: 23S ribosomal RNA
Rfam family: Bacterial large subunit ribosomal RNA
Source: RNAcentral
GGUUAAGCGACUAAGCGUACACGGUGGAUGCCCUGGCAGUCAGAGGCGAUGAAGGACGUGCUAAUCUGCGAUAAGCGUCGGUAAGGUGAUAUGAACCGUUAUAACCGGCGAUUUCCGAAUGGGGAAACCCAGUGUGAUUCGUCACACUAUCAUUAACUGAAUCCAUAGGUUAAUGAGGCGAACCGGGGGAACUGAAACAUCUAAGUACCCCGAGGAAAAGAAAUCAACCGAGAUUCCCCCAGUAGCGGCGAGCGAACGGGGAGCAGCCCAGAGCCUGAAUCAGUGUGUGUGUUAGUGGAAGCGUCUGGAAAGGCGCGCGAUACAGGGUGACAGCCCCGUACACAAAAAUGCACAUACUGUGAGCUCGAUGAGUAGGGCGGGACACGUGGUAUCCUGUCUGAAUAUGGGGGGACCAUCCUCCAAGGCUAAAUACUCCUGACUGACCGAUAGUGAACCAGUACCGUGAGGGAAAGGCGAAAAGAACCCCGGCGAGGGGAGUGAAAAAGAACCUGAAACCGUGUGUACAAGCAGUGGGAGCACAGAGCAAUCUGUGUGACUGCGUACCUUUUGUAUAAUGGGUCAGCGACUUAUAUUCUGUAGCAAGGUUAACCGAAUAGGGGAGCCGAAGGGAAACCGAGUCUUAACUGGGCGUUAAGUUGCAGGGUAUAGACCCGAAACCCGGUGAUCUAGCCAUGGGCAGGUUGAAGGUUGGGUAACACUAACUGGAGGACCGAACCGACUAAUGUUGAAAAAUUAGCGGAUGACUUGUGGCUGGGGGUGAAAGGCCAAUCAAACCGGGAGAUAGCUGGUUCUCCCCGAAAGCUAUUUAGGUAGCGCCUCGUGAAUUCAUCUCCGGGGGUAGAGCACUGUUUCGGCAAGGGGGUCAUCCCGACUUACCAACCCGAUGCAAACUGCGAAUACCGGAGAAUGUUAUCACGGGAGACACACGGCGGGUGCUAACGUCCGUCGUGAAGAGGGAAACAACCCAGACCGCCAGCUAAGGUCCCAAAGUCAUGGUUAAGUGGGAAACGAUGUGGGAAGGCCCAGACAGCCAGGAUGUUGGCUUAGAAGCAGCCAUCAUUUAAAGAAAGCGUAAUAGCUCACUGGUCGAGUCGGCCUGCGCGGAAGAUGUAACGGGGCUAAACCAUGCACCGAAGCUGCGGCAGCGACGCUUAUGCGUUGUUGGGUAGGGGAGCGUUCUGUAAGCCUGCGAAGGUGUGCUGUGAGGCAUGCUGGAGGUAUCAGAAGUGCGAAUGCUGACAUAAGUAACGAUAAAGCGGGUGAAAAGCCCGCUCGCCGGAAGACCAAGGGUUCCUGUCCAACGUUAAUCGGGGCAGGGUGAGUCGACCCCUAAGGCGAGGCCGAAAGGCGUAGUCGAUGGGAAACAGGUUAAUAUUCCUGUACUUGGUGUUACUGCGAAGGGGGGACGGAGAAGGCUAUGUUGGCCGGGCGACGGUUGUCCCGGUUUAAGCGUGUAGGCUGGUUUUCCAGGCAAAUCCGGAAAAUCAAGGCUGAGGCGUGAUGACGAGGCACUACGGUGCUGAAGCAACAAAUGCCCUGCUUCCAGGAAAAGCCUCUAAGCAUCAGGUAACAUCAAAUCGUACCCCAAACCGACACAGGUGGUCAGGUAGAGAAUACCAAGGCGCUUGAGAGAACUCGGGUGAAGGAACUAGGCAAAAUGGUGCCGUAACUUCGGGAGAAGGCACGCUGAUAUGUAGGUGAAGUCCCUCGCGGAUGGAGCUGAAAUCAGUCGAAGAUACCAGCUGGCUGCAACUGUUUAUUAAAAACACAGCACUGUGCAAACACGAAAGUGGACGUAUACGGUGUGACGCCUGCCCGGUGCCGGAAGGUUAAUUGAUGGGGUCAGCGCAAGCGAAGCUCUUGAUCGAAGCCCCGGUAAACGGCGGCCGUAACUAUAACGGUCCUAAGGUAGCGAAAUUCCUUGUCGGGUAAGUUCCGACCUGCACGAAUGGCGUAAUGAUGGCCAGGCUGUCUCCACCCGAGACUCAGUGAAAUUGAACUCGCUGUGAAGAUGCAGUGUACCCGCGGCAAGACGGAAAGACCCCGUGAACCUUUACUAUAGCUUGACACUGAACAUUGAGCCUUGAUGUGUAGGAUAGGUGGGAGGCUUUGAAGUGUGGACGCCAGUCUGCAUGGAGCCGACCUUGAAAUACCACCCUUUAAUGUUUGAUGUUCUAACGUUGACCCGUGAUCCGGGUUGCGGACAGUGUCUGGUGGGUAGUUUGACUGGGGCGGUCUCCUCCUAAAGAGUAACGGAGGAGCACGAAGGUUGGCUAAUCCUGGUCGGACAUCAGGAGGUUAGUGCAAUGGCAUAAGCCAGCUUGACUGCGAGCGUGACGGCGCGAGCAGGUGCGAAAGCAGGUCAUAGUGAUCCGGUGGUUCUGAAUGGAAGGGCCAUCGCUCAACGGAUAAAAGGUACUCCGGGGAUAACAGGCUGAUACCGCCCAAGAGUUCAUAUCGACGGCGGUGUUUGGCACCUCGAUGUCGGCUCAUCACAUCCUGGGGCUGAAGUAGGUCCCAAGGGUAUGGCUGUUCGCCAUUUAAAGUGGUACGCGAGCUGGGUUUAGAACGUCGUGAGACAGUUCGGUCCCUAUCUGCCGUGGGCGCUGGAGAACUGAGGGGGGCUGCUCCUAGUACGAGAGGACCGGAGUGGACGCAUCACUGGUGUUCGGGUUGUCAUGCCAAUGGCACUGCCCGGUAGCUAAAUGCGGAAGAGAUAAGUGCUGAAAGCAUCUAAGCACGAAACUUGCCCCGAGAUGAGUUCUCCCUGACUCCUUGAGAGUCCUGAAGGAACGUUGAAGACGACGACGUUGAUAGGCCGGGUGUGUAAGCGCAGCGAUGCGUUGAGCUAACCGGUACUAAUGAACCGUGGGGCUUAACCUU